This 447-nucleotide ribosomal RNA is filed under the name uncultured bacterium. Its description in RNAcentral is "bacterial SSU rRNA". It matches the Rfam family "Bacterial small subunit ribosomal RNA", at positions 329 to 793 of the family's 1533-position model. The record is from RNAcentral.
UUCCAGACUCCUACGGGAGGCAGCAGUGGGGGAUAUUGCACAAUGGGGGAAACCCUGAUGCAGCGACGCCGCGUGAGCGAUGAAGUAUUUCGGUAUGUAAAGCUCUAUCAGCAGGGAAGAAGAUGACGGUACCUGACUAAGAAGCCCCGGCUAACUACGUGCCAGCAGCCGCGGUAAUACGUAGGGGGCAAGCGUUAUCCGGAUUUACUGGGUGUAAAGGGAGCGUAGACGGCGAUGCAAGCCAGAUGUGAAAGGCCGGGGCUCAACCCCGGGACUGCAUUUGGAACUGUGUGGCUGGAGUGUCGGAGAGGCAGGCGGAAUUCCUAGUGUAGCGGUGAAAUGCGUAGAUAUUAGGAGGAACACCAGUGGCGAAGGCGGCCUGCUGGACGAUGACUGACGUUGAGGCUCGAAAGUGUGGGGAGCAAACAGGAUUAGAUACCCCCGUAA